RNAcentral lists this ribosomal RNA (506 nucleotides) under uncultured bacterium. RNAcentral describes it as "partial 16S ribosomal RNA". It matches the Rfam family "Bacterial small subunit ribosomal RNA", at positions 29 to 523 of the family's 1533-position model. The record is from RNAcentral.
AGUGAACGCUGGCGGUAGGCCUAACACAUGCAAGUCGAACGGCAGCACAGGAGAGCUUGCUCUCUGGGUGGCGAGUGGCGGACGGGUGAGGAAUACAUCGGAAUCUACUCUGUCGUGGGGGAUAACGUAGGGAAACUUACGCUAAUACCGCAUACGACCUACGGGUGAAAGCAGGGGAUCUUCGGACCUUGCGCGAUUGAAUGAGCCGAUGUCGGAUUAGCUAGUUGGCGGGGUAAAGGCCCACCAAGGCGACGAUCCGUAGCUGGUCUGAGAGGAUGAUCAGCCACACUGGAACUGAGACACGGUCCAGACUCCUACGGGAGGCAGCAGUGGGGAAGAUUGGACAAUGGGCGCAAGCCUGAUCCAGCCAUACCGCGUGGGUGAAGAAGGCCUUCGGGUUGUAAGGCCCUUUUGUUGGGAAAGAAAUCCAGCUGGCUAAUACCCGGUUGGGAUGACGGUACCCAAAGAAUAAGCACCGGCUAACUUCGUGCCAGCCGCCGCCGUAA